UACGUAGGCAGCAAGCGUUGUUCGGAAUUACUGGGCGUAAAGCGUGCGCAGGCGGUUAUGUAAGACAGGUGUGAAAUCCCCGGGCUUAACCUGGGAACUGCAUUUGUGACUGCAUAGCUAGAGUACGGUAGAGGGGGAUGGAAUUCCGCGUGUAGCAGUGAAAUGCGUAGAUAUGCGGAGGAACACCGAUGGCGAAGGCAAUCCCCUGGACCUGUACUGACGCUCAUGCACGAAAGCGUGGGGAGCAAACGAGG
This 254-nucleotide ribosomal RNA is filed under the name uncultured bacterium. Its description in RNAcentral is "partial 16S ribosomal RNA". It matches the Rfam family "Bacterial small subunit ribosomal RNA", at positions 524 to 777 of the family's 1533-position model. The record is from RNAcentral.